RNAcentral lists this transfer RNA (83 nucleotides) under Chlamydiae bacterium CG10_big_fil_rev_8_21_14_0_10_42_34. RNAcentral describes it as "tRNA-Leu". It matches the Rfam family "tRNA". From Rfam's summary of the family: Transfer RNA (tRNA) molecules are approximately 80 nucleotides in length. Their secondary structure includes four short double-helical elements and three loops (D, anti-codon, and T loops). RNAcentral also lists the same sequence under 3 other names. Lineage: Bacteria; Pseudomonadati; Chlamydiota. The record is from RNAcentral.
GCUUGGAUGGUGGAAUGGUAGACACUGGGGACUUAAAAUCCCCUGGUAGCAAUACCGUGCGGGUUCGAGUCCCGCUCCGAGCA